This is a long non-coding RNA of Bacillus rossius redtenbacheri, 1927 nucleotides long. RefSeq lists it as uncharacterized. The transcript has 2 exons. The record is from RefSeq and is a predicted model, not a curated record. NCBI's taxonomy places the organism in Eukaryota, Metazoa, Arthropoda, Insecta, Phasmatodea, Bacillidae.
CCCUCUGAAGGUGGAUCGUGACAGAAAUGGUGGUGGCACCGGCUAGGUGCCACGUGACAGAAAUGGUAGAGUUCGCCGGAUAGGUUCUAUUUCUGGAGAGAGAGAGAGGUAGAUUUUUAUGUUUAUUAUUAAGUUAGUUUCAGCUUCUGAUAGCAGGUUAUUAAGAGUUUACUUGAGGAGAGGAUUACGGAAUUUUAGUCUAUAGUGGAGGAAGUCUUUGAGAUUUUUUUUUUGACGUAACAGAUGUUUAUUUGAGGAUACUUGUAAGGAUAAAGUUUAUAGUGAUAAGUUGUUUUAAGUCGUUGAAUUUAUUGUAGAUUUAUAUCGGGGAUUAUUACGUGAGGAGAAUACGUUAUAAGUUAAAUGCUUAUUAGAGAUAAUGCAAGUGGUUUAAUUUAAUUGAAGUUCAUUUUAAGAUUGUAGGUUAAGAGAAUUAUAAUUUAAAAUAAAGUUUUUUGUCGUAAAUAGGAAUUAUUUUCAAGUGAAGUUUGUUUUGUUUUCGUGCGCGUAGGAGACGAGACGUACGAAUUAAAUCAGUCGAGGGAAGGAUAAACGUUAGAAAGGAAUUAAAGAGAAAACGAGAGUUUAUGUAAAAGAGAGUUAUAGAAUUUAUAGUGAUGUUUUGUUUUAAUUAGAAAAAUGUUGAGAGUUGUUUCAGAACGACACGUCAGUGGACGUGGCAGAAUGAACACGUGACGGGGAGGUGCUGAGACCUAGCGGAGAACGGAGGAACCGCAAGCGAGGGUUGGCGCACCUGAUGGAAUUCGGUGACGUCACGAGCACGUACAGAGACGUGGACGGCCGUGACCUUGUUUUGAUCAGCUGUACGGUAACUUAGCGAUAAGAAAAUAGACUAUUGGUUAAAUAAAUUUAAAUUUAAGUGUGUUUUAGAAGAAGAGUAACUUUCAGUAUAUUCCUUAAGAUGAGCUGAGCAGCAGUCCAGUUUACAAGAUGACAAGAGUUCGAGAGACAAGAUACAAGAUCACUGAAACAAGAGCCAAGACUGAAGAUUCAAGAGAAGAGAAAGCUGGCAGCCAUGGACUUACAAGUGGAGAUUAAUAAGGUCAUGUAAAGUUUUAUUUUUUUUAUGGAAGACAGUAACUGGAGUUUUUUUUUGUUAUAAACAUUAUUUACAGAACUUUUUAGGUUAUAGUAAUGUAAUGGAACUAGUGAGUUGUGGUAGCUGUCAAAAAGAACUAAUACCUUAAGUUUAAUUUUUAAAGUUAAUUUUCUUAAUUUACAGAGGGAUUAGUAGUUUUUUUUAAACCUUAUUUAGGUUGGAAUUUAAAUACAAUAGCUUAUUAUAAAUGUGUACGAACAGUUCAAGUUCACAGUACUGAUAGGUAGGUCAGAUGAUCUUAUUGAUUUUGAUGAUUUGUUGUUUUGAGUUGAUUUUUAGGUGUUGUGAAUUAGACAAUGAAAUAGUUCUGAAAACUUAAAUUAUUUCAAGCUAAGAAAUAGUAAAGUUAAUUGUAACUCAAAGGACACCAGAAUUUAAUUUUUUUUUGAAUUAGUAAUGUUUGAAAAUUUUAUACUUUACAAGAAAGGUUAUAAACAAACAGAUCGGAUGGAACAAGGAUGCAGUAAAUCACAAUUUCAUUUAGAAUUAUUGAUUAGCUUUUGAGGUUAUGAAGUAAAAGUAAUUAUAAUUUAAAAGUUUGAAUAAAAAAAUGUUUUUUUUUAUUUGUUUGAAAUAGAAAGUUUAAAAGUUAAUUAGUCAUGAUCUAGGUGGGUGAUGGGGUGGGAAUUGGCCACUCUUUUUCCCUAUAACCUCCCUAACAUGGCCUUCUAUUACAUCUAACAGAAAAAAAAAAGAAGAAAAAGAAGACUUAUUAUUAGUUAGAAUGUUUUUUUAUGAAGAUACCUGAUGAACUUUUUUUUUAUUGUUGGGAAGAAUAGUAGCAAGAUUAAUCAGAUGUUUUACUCA